UGAGGAAUAUUGGUCAAUGGACGAGAGUCUGAACCAGCCAAGUAGCGUGCAGGAUGACGGCCCUAUGGGUUGUAAACUGCUUUUGUUUGGGAAUAAUCGACAUUACGUGUAAUGUUUUGCAUGUACCAUUCGAAUAAGGACCGGCUAAUUCCGUGCCAGCAGCCGCGGUAAUACGGAAGGUCCAGGCGUUAUCCGGAUUUAUUGGGUUUAAAGGGAGUGUAGGCGGUUGGUUAAGCGUGUUGUGAAAUGUAGAUGCUAAACAUCUGACUUGCAGCGCGAACUGGCUGACUUGAGUACACACAACGUAGGCGGAAUUCAUGGUGUAGCGGUGAAAUGCUUAGAUAUCAUGAAGAACUCCGAUUGCGAAGGCAGCUUACGGGAGUGUUACUGACGCUUAAGCUCGAAGGUGCGGGUAUCGAACAGG
This 424-nucleotide ribosomal RNA is filed under the name Verrucomicrobiota bacterium. RNAcentral describes it as "Verrucomicrobia bacterium partial 16S ribosomal RNA". It matches the Rfam family "Bacterial small subunit ribosomal RNA", at positions 355 to 776 of the family's 1533-position model. The record is from RNAcentral. Lineage: Bacteria; Pseudomonadati; Verrucomicrobiota.